RNAcentral lists this ribosomal RNA (253 nucleotides) under uncultured bacterium. Its description in RNAcentral is "partial 16S ribosomal RNA". It matches the Rfam family "Bacterial small subunit ribosomal RNA", at positions 524 to 776 of the family's 1533-position model. The record is from RNAcentral.
UACGAAGGGGGCUAGCGUUGUUCGGAUUUACUGGGCGUAAAGCGCACGUAGGCGGAUCGUUAAGUCGGGGGUGAAAUCCUGGAGCUCAACUCCAGAACUGCCUUCGAUACUGGCGAUCUUGAGUCCGGAAGAGGUGAGUGGAACUGCGAGUGUAGAGGUGAAAUUCGUAGAUAUUCGCAAGAACACCAGUGGCGAAGGCGGCUCACUGGCCCGAUACUGACGCUGAGGCACGAAAGCGUGGGGAGCAAACAGG